CCUACGGGUGGCAGCAGUGAGGAAUAUUGGGCAAUGGACGAGAGUCUGAACCAGCCAAGUAGCGUGAAGGAUGACUGCCCUAUGGGUUGUAAACUUCUUUUAUAAAGGAAUAAAACGAGGCACGUGUGCCUUUUUGCAUGUACUUUAUGAAUAAGGAUCGGCUAACGCCGUGCCAGCAGCCGCGGUAAUACGGAGGGUCCGAGCGUUAUCCGGAUUUAUUGGGUUUAAAGGGAGCGUAGAUGGGUUGUUAAGUCAGUUGUGAAAGUUUGCGGCUCAACCGUAAAAUUGCAAUUGAUACUGGCAUUCUUGAGUACAGUUGAGGUAGGCGGAAUUCGUGGUGUAGCGGUGAAAUGCUUAGAUAUCACGAAGAACCCCGAUUGCGAAGGCAGCUUACUAAACUGUGACUGACAUUGAUGCUCGAAAGUGUGGGUAUCAAACAGGAUUAGAUACCCCGGUAGUC
This 460-nucleotide ribosomal RNA is filed under the name uncultured bacterium. RNAcentral describes it as "partial 16S ribosomal RNA". It matches the Rfam family "Bacterial small subunit ribosomal RNA", at positions 338 to 795 of the family's 1533-position model. The record is from RNAcentral.